Sphaeramia orbicularis (orbiculate cardinalfish) is the source of this 99-nucleotide long non-coding RNA. RefSeq lists it as uncharacterized. The transcript has 3 exons. The record is from RefSeq and is a predicted model, not a curated record. Lineage: Eukaryota; Metazoa; Chordata; Actinopteri; Kurtiformes; Apogonidae.
AUUAACCCAUAAAGACCCGGUCAUUUUUUUUUUCUUUUUUUAAUUGAUUUAACGUCCUUUAUUAUCAAAUAAUUCUCCAUAUUUUUGCAUUUUUCCUGU